This 468-nucleotide ribosomal RNA is filed under the name uncultured bacterium. Its description in RNAcentral is "partial 16S ribosomal RNA". It matches the Rfam family "Bacterial small subunit ribosomal RNA", at positions 28 to 507 of the family's 1533-position model. The record is from RNAcentral.
GACGAACGCUGGCGGCGUGCUUAACACAUGCAAGUCGAACGGAAAGGCCCUGCUUUUGUGGGGUGCUCGAGUGGCGAACGGGUGAGUAACACGUGAGUAACCUGCCCUUGACUUUGGGAUAACUUCAGGAAACUGGGGCUAAUACCGGAUAGGAUCUCCUGCUGCAUGGUGGGGGUUGGAAAGUUUCGGCGGUUGGGGAUGGACUCGCGGCUUAUCAGCUUGUUGGUGGGGUAGUGGCUGACCAAGGCUUUGAAGGGUAGCCGGCCUGAGAGGGUGAACGGGCACAUGGGGCCUGAGAGACGGACCAGAGUCCUACGGGAGGCAGCAGUGGGGAAUAUGGCACAAUGGGCGGAAGCCUGAUGCAGCGACGCCGCGUGCGGGAUGACGGCCUUCGGGUUGUAAACCGCUUUCGCCUGUGACGAAGCGUGAGUGACGGUAAUGGGUAAAGAAGCACCGGCUAACUACGUG